Molecule: long non-coding RNA, 760 nt
Filed under: Rattus norvegicus (Norway rat)
Lineage: Eukaryota; Metazoa; Chordata; Mammalia; Rodentia; Muridae
Description: long non-coding RNA NONRATT018545
Source: RNAcentral
AGUGACACAGCUCCUCUAACGCGGCCACACCUCCCAGGGCUUCCAAAACCUUCCACUAACUGGAGACCAACAUCCAAACAUAUGCACCUACAGGAACCGUUCCCAUUGAAAGCACCACACCAUCUCCAUUCGACCGUGUUUUGCAAGGUGACUCUCUGUAAGCUUACCUGCAUUUUCAGGGCCAUGUCAGAGUUUUGUGAAAUAAGUUGAGAACUUGAGAAAGUAGGAGCAACUCCAACAGUGACUGUAAAGGUGGAAUUAAUUAGAAAGAUCAAAGUCAAUCUGCUGGCAUGGCUAGCCACUGUGACCUGAACGGACCAUUUACCUUGGCUGGACUCUGAAUUCCUCACUUGCUGAAUAAGAAAUGAUGCCUGCCUACUAAAGACGAACUAGGAUUCUCGGAAAAGACUUGGCAGACUUCUUUUGACUUAAGCCGGGUUUGGUCUACUGGAACCUUAUGUGCAUCGGUUAGCUUUCGGCUUCCUCACCUCUGAUCCAUCUUAAGAGAGUGUCGAAUUCAAAAAGUCACCCCUUUGGACAAGCAAAGUCUUGGCUGUAUUGGAAGUCCUCCGUGUCUCAGAGUGGCCAUUUAACCAACGUAACUCUACACAGCAACCCCAAGCAUGACUUCGAAGUCUGAAUGAGGAGGACGAUAGCCACACCAACACCACGGAGUCAUUAGCCCAGCUGCGGCUUUGAUCUGCUGGCUCGUUACUGUGGACCACAGAUGUUGCCUGCCAUUGUCCCACCCUGCAGAGAG